This 492-nucleotide ribosomal RNA is filed under the name uncultured bacterium. RNAcentral describes it as "partial 16S ribosomal RNA". It matches the Rfam family "Bacterial small subunit ribosomal RNA", at positions 29 to 507 of the family's 1533-position model. The record is from RNAcentral.
AGUGAACGCUGGCGGUAGGCCUAACACAUGCAAGUCGAACGGCAGCACAGUAAGAGCUUGCUCUUACGGGUGGCGAGUGGCGGACGGGUGAGGAAUACAUCGGAAUCUACUUUUUCGUGGGGGAUAACGUAGGGAAACUUACGCUAAUACCGCAUACGACCUACGGGUGAAAGCAGGGGAUCUUCGGACCUUGCGCGAUUGAAUGAGCCGAUGUCGGAUUAGCUAGUUGGCGGGGUAAAGGCCCACCAAGGCGACGAUCCGUAGCUGGUCUGAGAGGAUGAUAAGACACACUGGAACUGAGACACGGUCCAGACUCCUACGGGAGGCAGCAGUGGGGAAUAUUGGACAAUGGGCGCAAGCCUGAUCCAGCCAUACCGCGUGGGUGAAGAAGGCCUUCGGGUUGUAAAGCCCUUUUGUUGGGAAAGAAAAGCAGCAGGUUAAUACCCCGCUGUUCUGACGGUACCCAAAGAAUAAGCACCGGCUAACUUCGUG